CUUUCUUUGCUGGCGACCGGCGCACGGGUGAGUAACACGUAUCCAACCUGCCCUUUACUCGGGGGUAGCCUUUCGAAAGAAAGAUUAAUACCCGAUAGCAUAAUGAUUCCGCAUGGUUUCAUUAUUAAAGGAUUCCGGUAAAGGAUGGGGAUGCGUUCCAUUAGGUUGUUGGUGAGGUAACGGCUCACCAAGCCUUCGAUGGAUAGGGGUUCCGAGAGGAAGGUCCCCCACAUUGGAACUGAGACACGGUCCAA
RNAcentral lists this ribosomal RNA (254 nucleotides) under uncultured bacterium. RNAcentral's name for it is "partial 16S ribosomal RNA". It matches the Rfam family "Bacterial small subunit ribosomal RNA", at positions 79 to 334 of the family's 1533-position model. The record is from RNAcentral.